Molecule: ribosomal RNA, 453 nt
Filed under: Triticum aestivum (bread wheat)
Lineage: Eukaryota; Viridiplantae; Streptophyta; Magnoliopsida; Poales; Poaceae
Description: partial small subunit ribosomal RNA
Source: RNAcentral
GCCAUUCCUUUGGUGCCUGGGGCACGACCUGUCAACCUGCGCCCAUACCGAUACAGCCCGGCGCAGAAGGAUGAGAUAGAGCGGCAAGUGGUUGACAUGCUAGCCCAAGGCAUUAUUCAGACAAGUGUGAGUCCUUUUGCCUCUCUGGUCGUGUUAGUUCAUAAAAAAGAUCUCACUUGGCGCUUCUGUGUGGAUUAUCGACACCUCAACGCGAUCACAGUUAAGAACUGUUAUCCUCUUCCGAUUAUUGAUGAGUUGCUUGAUGAGAUAGAAGGAGCUCGGGUGUUCACCAGUUUGGACUUGCGGGCAAGUUACCACCAAAUCCGGAUGCGACCUGAGGACGAGCACAAAACGGCGUUCAAAACACACAGCGGACACUUCGAGUUCAGAGUCCUGCCGUAUGGUGUUACCGGUGGUCCACCAACCUUUCAAGGGGGCAUGAUCAUGUAUAUA